CUGUAAUCAUGCAAUGACAUUUCCAACUGUAUGUGUGAUAGAAUUCAAAAUGCUAUUGGGAUUAUGGUUCUUAAGCAUUGGGAGGUAAUGUGAACUGUUGGCAGAAAUGACUUAUUUCAUUAUACUUUCCCAAAUAUACAAAAUACUUCAGCGAGAGGCCCGCUUCUUCCCUAUCCCUGCCCAAUUUGAACUGUUUUCCCCAGUUGUUGAAGGAUAGGCCUGCAAUUUUGCAAAGUGACUAUUAUUUGCCUUUCUCAAGGAAUCAACAACUUGAAAGUACAGUGCAAUGAAUUGUUGGGGUUCUGCAGCUGCAUUUACAAUAUGUUUCUUCUGUGAAACAUCUCACAGAAUUUAGAGAAUAAAGCUUUUAUUUAAUUUCCUCUUGGAUAUGAACUGCAAUCCUCUUCAUAAGUGAAAAGCACUUACCAUCCUGCUUAAUAUUUUGUUUACAGCAGGGUGGUGUUUUUCUCUUAAACCAUUAUGACAUUUGAAACAACACAAAAAAGUGUCCUGUGUUUCUACAUUCCUGACACAUUCUUGCCCUUGAUCAACUGCAGAAGGCAGACAAUAGCGCAGAUCAUUUUCCCCAGGCAGGGAAACGCAGCAUGGAUCAACUCAAUAACCUGAUAUUCCCUCUCUACUGAGUGUGGCCAAUUUAGCAGAAGGUCAGCGCCUUUUUUUUUUAUUCCAGAGACAAUUUGGUGACCUCCCUCUGGAGCCCCAGCAGGACCAGCGGAGACAAACAGAAUUGUCGAGCUAGAAAGUGCUUGUGUUGACAUUGCGUUUCGGUGUGGACUUCUCAAGGUGAACAGAUACCUGGUCAAAUGUAACAACGGCUUCAACUUCCUCGGACAAGAGUCGAGGAAAAAAACGCCAAGUGUGUGUGCUUAGUAUUUUCUUUUGGUGACAAGAGCUGGCCUUCAGUGUUAUUCAGCCCAUUGAAAACGAUUUCAGAUAUGAAAGGAGACGCUUUGUAUCUGAAAAUGUACAUUAAAUGGUGUCAACAACAUCCCAGAGGUCAGAGUAGAGUCCCCAUGGAGACUGAAUCUGGCUGCUGCGCUCGAAGCCUCGACACCCCCCUGAGUGGCGGCUCUGUGAUGGCUCUCAGUUUCUCUCGUCAUGUCCCUGGCAGCUUUGACACAGGUAAUAUGCAUGCAGGCUGACAGUGCCUGGGAUGUGCGGCAGAGACAAUGAUGUACGUAUCAUUUUCCUCCCUGACUGAUUGAAGACUGUAAUCUGUGCUGGACUUUCUCUCUGAUUACACACGUCUCAGGGAGCAAAACAAGGACUCUGAGCUGCCACUGGGCACUGGACUCAUCCAGAGCUUUCAGCCUUCAAGAGGACUGAAGUUCGCCUUUAAGGCUUGCAGCUGCUGAUGAGAUGUGUCUCUGUGCAGACAGAUGAUAGGGUGCCAGACAGAGACCGCACGGCAACCAGCAGCCCUCCCUGCUCUUGUCUUUGUGACACCUUUGGGCUGCUACUGUAGGGUCUAUUGUGUGCAGGUAGAAGCAUGCCACUGCAAUGGAGAGACUCGCCCCUCUGUCCAUCACCCUGACAGCUGUGGAAAUACAUUCGCCAUGCUGCAUUAAGGAGCGUCCACAGUGUUUAACACCACACUUAAACACAAAAGGAAUCUGGGGCACCUUCUCCAUGCCCAUUGUUCACAUCCUUGCACCAUAUUCCCAGCUAUUAAAGAAAAUAUGUCUUCAUGUCGGUGUAUUAUUUCCUCACAGGAUUUGUUUUAGCAACUUCAACUGCAGUGAAGAGAUGUGAUGUAGAUGUAAAACUUGUGGAGCAAAAUGAUGCAACGUCUGUCUUGGCGAGAACAACACAAUAAAGGCCAAUUAGAACUGAGUGCAGAGCCGUUGUGACAAGCAAAGGUCCCGGUAUCAGGGGGGACACGCGUGGGCGGGGUGGACCUGUCAGCGCUACAUUGAGGGAGAUAACAAUAAAUAGCUAAUAAUGACACUUAAUGAGCUUGAUGAAGUUGAUGUGUUAUGGAAAAAGUGCAAAUGGUGGAUGUAGGUGAUGUGAUGAGAGAUUGAUUUUAAUAGAUAGGAAACUCUGUUGGGGCUUUGCUGCACAAUGGGGCUGCAGAGGGGGAAAAAAGGUACAAAGGGAUGCUGAAUGGAUUCUCACGAGAUAUAUCUGAGAUAAUUAGAUACAUUUCACACUAACAUACAUAAUUCACUCAAGGACAUUAUGAACAUUUCUCAGCAUACAGAGGAUUUCAUAUAUUUUCAAGAAAUGGCUGGUCUGAUUAUUUUCAACUUACAUGUUUCCAGCAAGCGCAAUAUGUUCAUACAGUAUAUGAAUGUCGUUAAAUGCUAUUAUGGGAGCAGUAAUGACUGCCAGAUAAUUAUCCCUCCCACUUAGACUUGACGGCUGCUGAAUUUCUCUCAUUUCACCACAUAAUUGUCUAUGAUUGAAUUGGAGAUUUUAUAUACUUCUCUGUUCUUUCAGGCUGAGUUGACUUUCCACAGUGACGGUGGAGGUUAUCACAGGCCCUACAAGUCCCCCGAAUUGCCCUGUAAACAACAUGCAAUAGUGAACAAAGUUUCCCUGGCUUUCAAUAUGCCUCUCCCAAUUUUACCUCGAAAGCGACAGAAAGUCAGAUGAAGGGAAGUUUAAUUAAGUAAGAACCUGUUGAGGAAGAUUUCCAAUCAUGGUCUUCAGAAUGAGUGCAUUCAGCGUAUUCAUCUCCAGGCGAUAUGCUCUCUCUUUAUCCAAGUGUGCGCUGGAGUUCUCUAGAGGGACCCCAGUUAAUUGAAUACAUUAAAGUAGAGCGCCGGAGGCUUUAUUUAUUUUUCUACUCUAGUCAGACUUGUUUAAAGGAGACCAACUGCUGAUGUUUGGCCCCUUCUAGAGUUUAAAUGGUCUCCACACUGGGAGUGGUGUGCAGGAGUAGUGGUUUGAGAAGAGAUUUGAUGUAAUCCACAGCUUAUUUAUUCACCAUGAACCCCUGAGUGAGCCUAGUUUAUGUAUUUGGCAGUCAUUCAAAUGUGCAUCUUGGCCCUCAGG
Long non-coding RNA from Siniperca chuatsi (mandarin fish), 3021 nucleotides. RefSeq lists it as uncharacterized. NCBI's taxonomy places the organism in Eukaryota, Metazoa, Chordata, Actinopteri, Centrarchiformes, Sinipercidae. The record is from RefSeq and is a predicted model, not a curated record. The transcript is spliced from 4 exons.